GCUUCUGUGCUGUCUUAUGUGAACAUUCUUUCUUGCAAUAGAGAAUGAAAAAAUAGGGAAGAGGUGGCUAGCUCAAGGAAGUUGUCUUCUCUGGAUCAGAGGAGAGCAUGGGGCCGAUAAUGAUCUGUUUGCAAAGAUGGGGAGCUGGGGACCAAAGGCAACUCACUGGUUAUCAUUGGUUAGCAUGUCCAUCCCAACCUGUGUCUUUGAAAGCUCAGAGCCAAAUUGAAUGUGAAUUGAAACCACUCUCCUGGUUUUCUGGGGAUGGUAAGAAAGCAAUGCAGCCAUCAAUCAACAUAUCAACCAGUCAACCAACAAGUAUAUUUGAAUAAGAAUCCUGGGCUGUAUGUAUUAUCCUGAGGGAUAAUGUGCUGCUUAUGAUUGUAUAUGUGUGUAGACCAGGUCAUGAUACAGAACUUAUUUCUUACUUUGGGUUAUGGUCAAAGAAGUUAGAAAAUAUUUGUCUAGAUGUAGAGACAAGGUAUAUAUUCAUGUAAUGGGAACUUUCCUAGGUCUCAACCUUUUAUAAGUAACUGGUUACAUCAGCAAUGCCAAAUGAAAGUGCACUGGGGCUUAGUCUGUUGACACAGAAUCUUGGAUUCAAAACCCUGGUGAAGCUCAACUGCUCUUCCUGACCUUGGAUUUCCCUAAUAAAGUUCCCUUCUUCAAGCA
Molecule: long non-coding RNA, 672 nt
Filed under: Felis catus (domestic cat)
Lineage: Eukaryota; Metazoa; Chordata; Mammalia; Carnivora; Felidae
Description: lncRNA (ENSFCAG00000050411.1)
Source: RNAcentral